CAAGGUUUUCGUAGGUGAACCUUGGGAAAGGAUCAUUG
Molecule: ribosomal RNA, 38 nt
Filed under: Eucalyptus patellaris
Lineage: Eukaryota; Viridiplantae; Streptophyta; Magnoliopsida; Myrtales; Myrtaceae
Description: partial 18S ribosomal RNA
Source: RNAcentral